RNAcentral lists this ribosomal RNA (560 nucleotides) under uncultured bacterium. RNAcentral's name for it is "bacterial SSU rRNA". It matches the Rfam family "Bacterial small subunit ribosomal RNA", at positions 338 to 914 of the family's 1533-position model. The record is from RNAcentral.
CCUACGGGAGGCAGCAGUGGGGAAUCUUGCGCAAUGGGCGAAAGCCUGACGCAGCAACGCCGCGUGCGGGAAGAAGGCUUUCGGGCUGUAAACCGCUUUCAGCAGGAACGAAAAAUGACGGUACCUGCAGAAGAAGGAGCGGCCAACUAUGUGCCAGCAGCCGCGGUGAUACAUAGGCUUCAAGCGUUGUCCGGAUUUAUUGGGCGUAAAGAGUUCGUAGGCGGUCGAGUAAGUCGGGUGUGAAAAUUCUGGGCUCAACCCAGAGACGCCACCCCGAUACUGCUUAACUUGAGUUCGAUAGGGGAGUGGGGAAUUCCUAGUGUAGCGGUGAAAUGCGCAGAUAUUAGGAGGAACACCGGUGGCGAAGGCGCCACUCUGGAUCGAUACUGACGCUGAGGAACGAAAGCAUGGGUAGCAAACAGGAUUAGAUACCCUGGUGGUCCAUGCCGUAAACGGUGGGCACUAGGUGUGGGAUUCUAUUAACGAAUUCCGCGCCGUCGCUAACGCAUUAAGUGCCCGCCUGGGAGUACGGUCGCAAGACAAAACUUAAAUGAAUUGAG